This is a long non-coding RNA of Myiozetetes cayanensis, 446 nucleotides long. RefSeq lists it as uncharacterized. NCBI's taxonomy places the organism in Eukaryota, Metazoa, Chordata, Aves, Passeriformes, Tyrannidae. The transcript has 4 exons. The record is from RefSeq and is a predicted model, not a curated record.
CAGAGUUCUUGCUCUUUUUGCUUUGUUUUUGUGCUCAUUUAGCACUGGGGUGCUUAUUCAUGGUGUUAAAUUGCCCUGUAUGGAUGCCCACAAAGCGCAACAUUCCUCACUGCCUGCAUAAGUAAAGCAGGAGCUUCACUUGGCACCGCUAACAUUUUAAGACCAGAGAAGCUACUGUUGUAUUCAAUUGGACUCAGCCUGUCUCCACUGCUGUACUAGGGAUGAGAGGUGGCUGCCACUUGGACAGACUGCCACUUGGGACUGACAGAUCAGAAGAGGAUCGAUUUAGAUACAGGGGGCCCAGCAGGAGCAAGGAGAUGAAGUACUCUAACUCUUCCAGGCAAUAUCACAGAAAACAGAAUUAACAUGGGAGCUUUUGUCACAAUCUCAACAGACCAUUCAAGUGAUGAAAACGUGGAGCUGUUUCACCUCUUCCCUUCCAGGUU